RNAcentral lists this ribosomal RNA (253 nucleotides) under uncultured bacterium. RNAcentral's name for it is "partial 16S ribosomal RNA". It matches the Rfam family "Bacterial small subunit ribosomal RNA", at positions 524 to 776 of the family's 1533-position model. The record is from RNAcentral.
UACGUAGGGAGCAAGCGUUGUCCGGAAUCAUUGGGCGUAAAGCGCGCGUAGGUGGCUUCGUAAGUCCGUUGUGAAAGUCAAAGGCUCAACCUUUGAAAGCCGAUGGAUACUGUGAAGCUAGAGUACGGAAGAGGCGAGUGGAAUUCCUGGUGUAGCGGUGAAAUGCGCAGAUAUCAGGAAGAACACCAAUGGCGAAGGCAGCUCUCUGGGACGGUACUGACGCUGAGACGCGAAAGCGUGGGGAGCGAACAGG